RNAcentral lists this microRNA (17 nucleotides) under Corchorus olitorius. RNAcentral describes it as "hsa-miR-12". The record is from RNAcentral. Lineage: Eukaryota; Viridiplantae; Streptophyta; Magnoliopsida; Malvales; Malvaceae.
UUAUUUUGCUUCUUUCU